UACGGGGGGGGCAAGCGGUGUUCGGAAUUACUGGGCGUAAAGGGCUCGUAGGCGGCCAAGUAAGUCAGACGUGAAAUCCCUCGGCUUAACCGGGGAACUGCGUCUGAUACUGGAUGGCUAGAGAUUGGGAGAGGGAUGCGGAAUUCCAGGUGUAGCGGUGAAAUGCGUAGAUAUCUGGAGGAACACCGGUGGCGAAGGCGGCAUCCUGGACCAACACUGACGCUGAGGCGCGAAAGCGUGGGGAGCAAACGGG
This 253-nucleotide ribosomal RNA is filed under the name uncultured bacterium. RNAcentral describes it as "partial 16S ribosomal RNA". It matches the Rfam family "Bacterial small subunit ribosomal RNA", at positions 524 to 776 of the family's 1533-position model. The record is from RNAcentral.